Molecule: ribosomal RNA, 276 nt
Filed under: uncultured prokaryote
Description: partial 16S ribosomal RNA
Rfam family: Bacterial small subunit ribosomal RNA
Source: RNAcentral
CACGGGGUUGCGAGCGUUGUCCGGAAUUACUAGGCGUAAAGGGCAGGCAGGCGGAUCCAUAAGUUUAUCGUUUAAGGCGUCGGCUUAACCGGCGUAGGGCGGUAGAUACUGUGGAUCUGGAAUGCGGUUGGGGAAGACAGAAUUCCUGGUGUAGCGGUGGAAUGCGCAGAGAUCAGGAGGAAUACCGAAGGCGAAGGCAGUCUUCCAAGCCGUUAUUGACGCUCAACUGCGAAGGUGUGGGUAUCAAACAGGAUUAGAUACUCGGGUAGUCCCUGA